UGGCUCAGGAUGAACGCUGGCGGCGUGCUUAACACAUGCAAGUCGAACGAAGCAUCUGGCUUUGAUUUCUUCGGAUUGAUUAGCCUUAUGACUUAGUGGCGGACGGGUGAGUAACGCGUGGGUAACCUGCCGUAUGCAGGGGGACAACAGUUGGAAACGACUGCUAAUACCGCGUAAGCGCACAGCAUCGCAUGAUGCAGUGUGAAAAGAUUUAUCGGCAUACGAUGGACCCGCGUUGGAUUAGGUAGUUGGUGAGGUAACGGCCCACCAAGCCGACGAUCCAUAGCCGACCUGAGAGGGUGACCGGCCACAUUGGGACUGAGACACGGCCCAAACUCCUACGGGAGGCAGCAGUGGGGAAUAUUGCACAAUGGGGGAAACCCUGAUGCAGCGACGCCGCGUGAGUGAAGAAGUAUUUCGGUAUGUAAAGCUCUAUCAGCAGGGAAGAAAAUGACGGUACCUGCACAAGAAGCCCCGGCUAACUACGUGCC
This 491-nucleotide ribosomal RNA is filed under the name uncultured organism. RNAcentral describes it as "SSU rRNA". It matches the Rfam family "Bacterial small subunit ribosomal RNA", at positions 20 to 509 of the family's 1533-position model. The record is from RNAcentral.